UCCCUGGCGUCGUCUAGCUGCUGGAGUGGCUUGAGCUACCCAACAUCUUGAUGGUUCGGGAGCGGCCAGAGCGGUCUCAGGACCUGCAGCAUUUCAUUCAGGCCAGCUACCAUCUGGUCCCUGGGCAUUGUGCUGCACCAGAUGGUCUGUGGGGAGCACCCUUUCAGGAGGGGCCAGAACAUCAGCUGGGACCAUUGGCUCUCACUGCCCCAAUGGCUCACUCAAGGUGGAUCCUCAGUUCUGGAUACAGGGGGAAAAACAUUGCUGGGCGACAGUGGGCUCAGGAGCAUCCUGCUGUGGCAGCUGCUGAGGAGGUGGCACAUGUCCUGCUCUCCUCCAAAACAAAGAAUUGAUGAUAAAGUUUAGGCUCAGCUCUGAGCACAUCCAGCAUGGCCUGGGCAUGGGAAUAGUGGGGCAGAGCCAACAGGAGCCUUCUUCAACUGAUGGGUGAUUUCUGGUUUCUCUGCCCACAGUGCCAAGGUCUGAUCAGGCGGUGUUUAUCCACGCUGGACUUGGAAAGGCCCUCAUUAGAAGAGCUGUUCUGUGAUCCUUGGAUGCAGGAUAUUCAUCUGCCAUAGAAGAAGGGAGAGAGCCACAGGCCCACUUUGAUGCAGGGCCCUGAGGAAGCAUUCUAGGUGGGGUCCAGUCUGGAUCAGGAAGUGCUUGGGAGCAGCUGUGGUGUGGAUGGGCCGUGCCCUUGGAGAAGGCUGAGGACAUCGUUUGGGACCAGCUUUUCUUCCAGCCAUGGAUGGCGUGAGCCAGGCUCUGCGGGUGCUGAGGCUGCUCUGGGCUCUGCCAGGGCUCUGCUGGAGCUCAGCACCGGGCCAGGAUCAGCCAAAGAAGAAAUGGUGUCACCUGCAGCACCGACUUGCUUGAGCAUUUUGGCAACACAGCUCAAGUUUGCAGAGUGUACAUCUCCAAGGGAAAACAUGACACCCCCUGUAGCCAUGAUAUUUUAGUGAAAAAGCCUCUGCUGGGAUUUUUCCUGUCCUGAGGAGCUGAGAGCGUCAGGAAAGAAAUGUAAACAAUAACUAUCUGCUGCUGUGGAAGGCCACAGGUGCAUCUUUCAUUGGUCCAUGUGGAUUGUUUUCAAUCAGUGACCAACCACAGCCACCUGUGCCAAGGCUGUGAGCAGUCACAGGAUUUUUGUUAUUCAUUCCAAUUCUAUUCUUGUCUUUGUAGCCUUCUGAUCUUCUUCUCUCUGUUCCUUUAGUAUAGUUUUAAUGUAGUAUUUUAAUAUAAUAUAUAACAUAAUAAAUCAGCCUUCUGAUGAAA
Passer domesticus (house sparrow) is the source of this 1275-nucleotide long non-coding RNA. RefSeq lists it as uncharacterized. The transcript has 3 exons. NCBI's taxonomy places the organism in Eukaryota, Metazoa, Chordata, Aves, Passeriformes, Passeridae. The record is from RefSeq and is a predicted model, not a curated record.